GGUUAAGUUAGAAAGGGCGCACGGUGGAUGCCUUGGCACUAGGAGCCGAAGAAGGACGGGACUAACACCGAUAUGCUUUGGGGAGCUGUACGUAAGCGUUGAUCCAGAGAUUUCCGAAUGGGGGAACCCACUAUCUUUAGUCGGAUAGUAUCCUUACGUGAAUACAUAGCGUGAGGAAGGCAGACCCAGGGAACUGAAACAUCUAAGUACCUGGAGGAAGAGAAAGAAAAAUCGAUUUCCUGAGUAGCGGCGAGCGAAACGGAAAGAGCCCAAACCAAGAAGCUUGCUUCUUGGGGUUGUAGGACACUCUAUACGGAGUUACAAAAGAAAGUUAUAAAUGAAGCGGUCUGGAAAGGCCCGCCAAAGACGGUAACAGCCCGGUAGUUGAAAUGGCUUUCCCUCCAGAGUGGAUCCUGAGUACGGCGGAACACGUGAAAUUCCGUCGGAAUCCGGGAGGACCAUCUCCCAAGGCUAAAUACUCCCUAGUGACCGAUAGUGAACCAGUACCGUGAGGGAAAGGUGAAAAGCACCCCGGAAGGGGAGUGAAACAGUUCCUGAAACCGUGUGCCUACAAGUAGUUAGAGCCCGUUAAUGGGUGAUAGCGUGCCUUUUGUAGAAUGAACCGGCGAGUUACGAUUUGUUGCAAGGUUAAGCGGAAAAAGCGGAGCCGUAGCGAAAGCGAGUCUGAAUAGGGCGCAUAAGUAACAGGUCGUAGACCCGAAACCAGGUGAUCUACCCAUGUCCAGGAUGAAGGUAAGGUAAUACUUACUGGAGGUCCGAACCCACGCACGUUGAAAAGUGCGGGGAUGAGGUGUGGGUAGCGGAGAAAUUCCAAUCGAACUUGGAGAUAGCUGGUUCUCUCCGAAAUAGCUUUAGGGCUAGCCUCGAGGUAAAGAGUCAUGGAGGUAGAGCACUGUUUGGACUAGGGGCCCUUCUCGG
RNAcentral lists this ribosomal RNA (939 nucleotides) under Listeria monocytogenes. RNAcentral's name for it is "partial 23S ribosomal RNA". It matches the Rfam family "Bacterial large subunit ribosomal RNA", at positions 1 to 935 of the family's 2925-position model. Lineage: Bacteria; Bacillati; Bacillota; Bacilli; Caryophanales; Listeriaceae. The record is from RNAcentral.